UGGGAAUAUUGGACAAUGGGGGCAACCCUGAUCCAGCCAUGCCGCGUGAGUGAUGAAGGCCUUAGGGUUGUAAAGCUCUUUCACCCGGGACGAUAAUGACGGUACCGGGAGAAGAAGCCCCGGCUAACUUCGUGCCAGCAGCCGCGGUAAUACGAAGGGGGCUAGCGUUGUUCGGAAUCACUGGGCGUAAAGCGCACGUAGGCGGACCGUUAAGUCGGAGGUGAAAUCCUGGGGCUCAACCCCAGAACUGCCUUCGAUACUGGCGGUCUCGAGUCCGGAAGAGGUGAUGGAACUGCCAGUGUAGAGGUGAAAUUCGUAGAUAUUGGCAAGAACACCAGUGGCGAAGGCGGCUCACUGGUCCGGUACUGAUGCUGAGGUGCGAAAGCGUGGGGAGCAAAACAGGAUUAGAUACCCUGGUAGUCCACGCCGUAAACGAUGAAUGCCAGCCGUCGGGCAGCAUGCUGUUCGGUGGCGCAGCUAACGCUUUAAGCAUUCCGCCUGGGGGAGUACGGUCGCAAGAUUAAAAACUCAAAUGAAUUGACGGGGUCAUAGCUGUUUCCU
RNAcentral lists this ribosomal RNA (561 nucleotides) under uncultured bacterium. RNAcentral's name for it is "partial 16S ribosomal RNA". It matches the Rfam family "Bacterial small subunit ribosomal RNA", at positions 356 to 1375 of the family's 1533-position model. The record is from RNAcentral.